GAUGAACGCUGGCGGCGUGCCUAAUACAUGCAAGUCGAGCGAAUGGAUUAAGAGCUUGCUCUUAUGAAGUUAGCGGCGGACGGGUGAGUAACACGUGGGUAACCUGCCUAUAAGACUGGGAUAACUCCGGGAAACCGGGGCUAAUACCGGAUAAUAUUUUGAACUGCAUGGUUCAAAAUUGAAAGGCGGCUUCGGCUGUCACUUAUGGAUGGACCCGCGUCGCAUUAGCUAGUUGGUGAGGUAACGGCUCACCAAGGCAACGAUGCGUAGCCGACCUGAGAGGGUGAUCGGCCACACUGGGACUGAGACACGGCCCAGACUCCUACGGGAGGCAGCAGUAGGGAAUCUUCCGCAAUGGACGAAAGUCUGACGGAGCAACGCCGCGUGAGUGAUGAAGGCUUUCGGGUCGUAAAACUCUGUUGUUAGGGAAAAACAAGUGCUAGUUGAAUAAGCUGGCACCUUGACGGUACCUAACCAGAAAGCCACGGCUAACUACGUGCCAGCAGCCGCGGUAC
Molecule: ribosomal RNA, 515 nt
Filed under: uncultured bacterium
Lineage: Bacteria
Description: partial 16S ribosomal RNA
Rfam family: Bacterial small subunit ribosomal RNA
Source: RNAcentral